GCCGGUGGAAGGCCCACUGCGUGCCACCGUUUCUGUGCAAUUUUGCACUCCCACCACGCGCGUCGACGUAGUGGCACAGGCUGCCAGGUGGGGGCCACGAGGCCGCUGCCCACCGCCCCCUUGGCGCCCCAUAACAUCCGCUCAGCUCAACCCGGAGAACGAGCGCGCGGGGCAACCGGCUAACUCCACCAAUGCCGCCGCUGCUCACCCUCUCCUCCUCGCCGGUGCUGCCGCCCAGGGCCCGGUUCAGGGUCUCGGCCUCCGCCGACGUCGGCGCCACCGGCCGAGCCGCCGCCGCCUCCAACGGCUUCCCGCCGUUCCUGCCCAGGGCGGUCGAGCGCAUCCGCGACGGCGCCGCCCUCCGCCUCGCCAAGCGAAUCGAGCGCGUGCCCGUCCAGACCGGCUUCUCGAAGAGCCCGAUACCGAGCAGCUGCGUGAGGCCACUCAAGCAGCAGCAGAGCGCCGAUCCGGUCGUGCUGCUCCACGGCUUCGACAGUUCUUGUUUAGAGUGGAGGUACACCUACCCUUUGCUGGAGGAUGCUGGGCUGGAGACUUGGGCUGUGGACAUUCUUGGAUGGGGCUUCUCUAAUUUAGAAACAAGGCCACCGUGUGAUAUCGUAUCUAAGCGCGAGCAUCUUUAUCAGUUCUGGAGAUCCUACAUCAAAAGGCCUAUGGUACUAGUUGGGCCUAGCCUGGGUGCUGCUGUUGCCAUUGAUUUCGCAGUCAACUAUCCGGAAGCGGUAUCAAAAUUAAUCUUCAUUGGUGCAAGUGUAUAUGCUGAGGGCACAAAAGAUAUGACCAGAAUGCCUAAAUUUGUUCCAUAUGCUGGGGUUUUUGUACUGAAGAGUCUUCCUCUGCGACUAUUCGCUACACGCUUGGCAUUUUAUAAAAUUCCAGAUGGAUUAUUUGAUUGGGUGCAGUGUGCAGGUGUCACCACGCGCAAUUGGAACCAUUUAGUUUCCUCUUUACUUUUGGGUUUCAAGUCAUGUGUUUUUUCUUUUAUUAAUUUAUUAUUCAUUACAGAUUGGCCGUCUACACUGCCUGCUUCCUUGGUGGGAAGAUGCUACGGUUAAUUUUAUGAUUACUGGAGGUUAUAAUGUCAUAAACCAAAUAAAGCAGGUAAAGCAAAAAUGCCUGGUCUUAUGGGGAGAGGAUGAUGGAAUUAUUAGCAAUAAGCAAGCAUAUCGGUUACAGCAGGAACUCCCCAGCGCAAUUUUAAGGCAGGUAGGGCAGUGCGGCCACAUUCCUCAUGUCGAGAAGCCGAGGGAGGCGGCAAAGCAUGUGCUCGACUUCCUCGAGGGCGAUAGCUUGGACAAGGCGGACCAGGCUUCUUCCCUAUCAUCAACUCUGGUAUCAACAUGAGGACCCCGUGAACAGAGGACCAGACCCCCCAGGCUAGCGUGCACGAGGUAACAUUGUACACGGCGCACUUGUGCUGUUUACGCUCGCCCCAGCGGCAUCCUGUCUGCGUUCUGGACCGGCUUGGAGCAGCCGAGUUGAUCAGCGUACGUACAGGCCCUGAGGCCACCUCGCCCGUGGAGAUGGAAAAGGUUGCACUGGACUAGUGAACUCAAACAGCUAUUCAGAGGCAGAAACGUGUCUCUGUCUCUGCGCGUCCGUCAGCCCCUCUUCUUUAGCUUGCUGGUUUAGAUUAGCACUAGAAAAGUGUACGUAUCGGUUGUUACAGUCACACGGUGGUCUCGAUCGAGCAUGCCCGUCGGUCUCGUUGUUGUAUCGACACAUAUAGUAAGUCUGCAUAUGGAUGCGGCCGCCCACGUGCGAACUUAUUUGUGCUGACAUCGAUGAUAUUUUUUCCUGGCUUCUCCCCUGCCCUUA
RNA transcript from Triticum aestivum (bread wheat), 1836 nucleotides. RefSeq lists it as uncharacterized. Lineage: Eukaryota; Viridiplantae; Streptophyta; Magnoliopsida; Poales; Poaceae. The record is from RefSeq and is a predicted model, not a curated record. The transcript is spliced from 11 exons.